UAAACUUUGCCACCGGGUAAAGAGUUUAAGGUGUUCUGAAACAUUCCAUUAGGUCUUAGAAGGAAUGUUGUCGGAACGCCUUUUUUUA
RNAcentral lists this non-coding RNA (88 nucleotides) under unclassified sequences. The record is from RNAcentral.